This is a small nuclear RNA of Marmota marmota marmota (Alpine marmot), 107 nucleotides long. NCBI's taxonomy places the organism in Eukaryota, Metazoa, Chordata, Mammalia, Rodentia, Sciuridae. The record is from Ensembl.
AUGCUUGCUUUGGCAGCACAAAUAUUAAAAUUGGAACAAUAUGAAGAAGGUUCAUGGGGCCCCUGCACAAGGUUGUGAAAUCAUUAAGUGUUCCUUUUCUAAUUUUG